Molecule: ribosomal RNA, 94 nt
Filed under: uncultured bacterium
Lineage: Bacteria
Description: partial 16S ribosomal RNA
Rfam family: Bacterial small subunit ribosomal RNA
Source: RNAcentral
ACCGCCCGUCACGCCACGAAAGUCUGUCUCACCCGAAGUCGCUGCGCUAACCGCAAGGAAGCAGACGCCGAAGGUAGGGCCGAUGAUUGGGACG